GAUGAACGCUGGCGGCGUGCUUAACACAUGCAAGUCGAACGACGACGCACAGAUUGCUGGGUGGUUUAGUGGCGAACGGGUGAAUAACACGUGAGUAACCUGCCCUUUACUCUGUCGUAAGCCAGGACAACUGGGACUAUUCCCUGAUAGCACAGUCCACCUCCUGGUGGGUGUUGGAAAGCUUCAUCGGUUUUGGAUGGAAUCGCGGCCUAUCCGCUUGUUCGUGUGGUAGUGGCACAGCAAGGCAACGACGGGUAGCCGGCCUGCGAGGGUGACCAGCGACACGGGGACUAAGAGACGGCCCAGACGCGAACGGUAGGCAGAAGGCGGGAACAUUGCACAGUGGGCCCAAGCGUGAGGCGGAGGCGCCGCGUGAGUGAUGACGUCCUGCGGGUUGAGAACCGCUGUCAGUAGAGAAGAAGCGAAUGUGACGGUACCUAAAGAAUAAGCACCGGCUAACUACGUG
This 466-nucleotide ribosomal RNA is filed under the name uncultured bacterium. RNAcentral's name for it is "partial 16S ribosomal RNA". It matches the Rfam family "Bacterial small subunit ribosomal RNA", at positions 28 to 507 of the family's 1533-position model. The record is from RNAcentral.